GAUGAACGCUGGCGGCGUGCCUAAUACAUGCAAGUCGAGCGAACAGACGAGGAGCUUGCUCCUCUGACGUUAGCGGCGGACGGGUGAGUAACACGUGGAUAACCUACCUAUAAGACUGGGAUAACUUCGGGAAACCGGAGCUAAUACCGGAUAAUAUAUUGAACCGCAUGGUUCAAUAGUGAAAGACGGUUUUGCUGUCACUUAUAGAUGGAUCCGCGCCGCAUUAGCUAGUUGGUAAGGUAACGGCUUACCAAGGCAACGAUGCGUAGCCGACCUGAGAGGGUGAUCGGCCACACUGGAACUGAGACACGGUCCAGACUCCUACGGGAGGCAGCAGUAGGGAAUCUUCCGCAAUGGGCGAAAGCCUGACGGAGCAACGCCGCGUGAGUGAUGAAGGUCUUCGGAUCGUAAAACUCUGUUAUUAGGGAAGAACAAAUGUGUAAGGAACUAUGCACGUCUUGACGGUACCGAAUCAGAAAGCCACGGCUAACUACGUG
This 497-nucleotide ribosomal RNA is filed under the name uncultured bacterium. Its description in RNAcentral is "partial 16S ribosomal RNA". It matches the Rfam family "Bacterial small subunit ribosomal RNA", at positions 28 to 507 of the family's 1533-position model. The record is from RNAcentral.